This 793-nucleotide ribosomal RNA is filed under the name uncultured bacterium. RNAcentral's name for it is "bacterial SSU rRNA". It matches the Rfam family "Bacterial small subunit ribosomal RNA", at positions 8 to 796 of the family's 1533-position model. The record is from RNAcentral.
AGAGUUUGAUCCUGGCUCAGAUUGAACGCUGGCGGCAGGCCUAACACAUGCAAGUCGAGCGGUAGAGAGAAGCUUGCUUCUCUUGAGAGCGGCGGACGGGUGAGUAAUGCCUAGGAAUCUGCCUGGUAGUGGGGGAUAACGUUCGGAAACGGACGCUAAUACCGCAUACGUCCUACGGGAGAAAGCAGGGGACCUUCGGGCCUUGCGCUAUCAGAUGAGCCUAGGUCGGAUUAGCUAGUUGGUGAGGUAAUGGCUCACCAAGGCGACGAUCCGUAACUGGUCUGAGAGGAUGAUCAGUCACACUGGAACUGAGACACGGUCCAGACUCCUACGGGAGGCAGCAGUGGGGAAUAUUGGACAAUGGGCGAAAGCCUGAUCCAGCCAUGCCGCGUGUGUGAAGAAGGUCUUCGGAUUGUAAAGCACUUUAAGUUGGGAGGAAGGGUUGUAGAUAAAUACUCUGCAAUUUUGACGUUACCGACAGAAUAAGCACCGGCUAACUCUGUGCCAGCAGCCGCGGUAAUACAGAGGGUGCAAGCGUCAAUCGGAAUUACUGGGCGUAAAGCGCGCGUAGGUGGUUUGUUAAGUUGGAUGUGAAAUCCCCGGGCUCAACCUGGGAACUGCACUCAAAACUGACUGACUAGAGUAUGGUAGAGGGUGAUGGAAUUUCCUGUGUAGCGGUGAAAUGCGUAGAUAUAGGAAGGAACACCAGUGGCGAAGGCGACCACCUGGACUAAUACUGACACUGAGGUGCGAAAGCGUGGGGAGCAAACAGGAUUAGAUACCCUGGUAGUCC